UGGGUUGUGGCUCAGUGGUAGAGCGCUCAUCUAGCACGUGCGAGGCCCUGGGUUCCAUCCUCAACACCACAU
RNAcentral lists this transfer RNA (72 nucleotides) under Ictidomys tridecemlineatus (thirteen-lined ground squirrel). RNAcentral's name for it is "Spermophilus tridecemlineatus (thirteen-lined ground squirrel) tRNA". It matches the Rfam family "tRNA". Rfam says of the family: Transfer RNA (tRNA) molecules are approximately 80 nucleotides in length. Lineage: Eukaryota; Metazoa; Chordata; Mammalia; Rodentia; Sciuridae. The record is from Rfam by way of RNAcentral.